AAUAAUUAUUGUUAUAAUAAUAAUAAGUAUGAGCUCCGAUGGAAACUCUGGAGGUUCUGGGCGACCAAAUAAAGGAACAUCUUUCAUGGCUACAGUAGCAACAGUGUUUGGAGUGGUGGCUCUGGCGCGUGAGUUAUGGAAUCUAGCCAGCCCGACAGAAGAGCCACCAACGGAGGAGAUGAUGAAAGCACCAGGAAAAAUAGAUACAUAUAUUCCUAGAAAAGACUUUGAGGAUAACUGUUGG
This 244-nucleotide long non-coding RNA is filed under the name Olea europaea subsp. europaea. The record is from RNAcentral. Lineage: Eukaryota; Viridiplantae; Streptophyta; Magnoliopsida; Lamiales; Oleaceae.